UUUUUUUAUUAAACGGUUUAUCAAAUAAAUGUAAAAUCUAAGGUAUGUUAUGCUACCAACACAUUUGCUACCAGGUUCACGAAUAUGUGUUCGUUGUGUCUAGCAUUAUUCUAAGUUAAAAGACUAAAGAUGUAAUUUUGCCAAUUUGUAUUACCCACGGUAACGAUUUUAAUGCAGUUGGAGCAUCGAAAGAAAAAAACAAUUAUACAACAUCGAGAGAGAGAGAGAGAGAGAGAGAGAGAGAGAGAAUUAUACUCGUUCCUCUCAUAAACCGAGAAUUGUCUAGUCCCCUUGCACUUUCAAAAGAUUUUCACUUUAAUCAAACAAGAUUACAAUUUGCUCAAACGCACAUGUAAGAGACUUCCUUUCCUCAUGCUCAAAAAAAAAAAAAAAAAAAAGACUUCCUUUCCUCAAUCACACAAGAAAGAGACUUCUACAAUCAGAGUUUAAUCAAAUAAAAAGAUUGUUGUUUUACACUUAAUAUGCAAUCAGAGUUGUAAGAAAUUUAGUUUCAGAUGACUUCUGAUACUUAAGAAAGUCUAAUAUAUAAAGGUUUGUAAGUAUUUCUCAAAGUGUUUGUGCGCUAUUUAAUUUGACAAAGUAAGGGCACUUGUAAAAUGACGGAAGUCUUGUGGUUUUUCUUCAACUGCUCAUGUCCUUAUAUAUGAAAGACUGAGAGACUCGUUGUUGAGAGACUCGUGGUUUCCCCCUUCGUCUUUGUUGGAAAUUAAAUUAAUAAAUCAUUCAUUUAUAACUUGCCUUAUAUUGGAUUUAAGAAAUUAGAACAUAACUCGUUACGGCUCUGUAGACAAAGCUUUCCCCGCAAUUCACCCUUGCAAAUUAAUAGGGUCCCGAAAGAGGAGAAGGCCAACAACCGUGUGAAGGCCAACAUCCUCUCCCACAUCACCAUCACAAAGAGAAGAAAAAUAGGCCGUCUUCGCGAGAACAAACGCACCUGAAUCAUUUUGAAGACAUAUUCCGAUACCUACCAUAUUUGAAGAAAAGGAGAAUUAGACAUCAAUGUUACAUUUGUACCUACCUCGUGUUGGUUUUGUCCACCCCACCACUUAUCUGCUAUUGGUGCCAUCUUGUGACGUAGAGAUACAUGUUAUUCUUUGAGACCGAAUAUGUUGUGCAGCUCGCCGUUUCUCAAGGAGAUGGGUUGCACGCUCAACAACCUGCCUACUCGUCUCAUUUUGUUGUUGCCACAAUUUUAAAUUCCUACGCUUCCAUAAACUCGACAUAAUCGUAACAACCAAUACACUUUGGACUGAUGGUAAUUGAUGGAUAAGAGAAAAAAAUCAGAGCAUCCAUAUUAUAAUUUUGGCGGAGAGUUCUAUCAACCGUAUCCCAUAACUAUACAUCACGUCAAGCUUGAAUCGCCCCUGGACAUUCCAACAACACAUGAAUACUAUCUUCAUAAUUACUACCACAAAGAACACAAUCAAUCAGACAAUGAACUCCUCGACUACUAAGGCGUGCACGCGUGGGAAAACAGCCCCGACACACGUGCCACACUUUUUUUUAUUUUUUAUCUUGGGUGAAACCUUCAGCUUCCAAAUUAAAUUCCACCUACUCGGAAUAUGUAAGUGGGAAUUAUCUACAAUUUCAUUCACACAAACCUGAUACGCACUUCGUACAAAAUAAUAUCAUACUUUUCAGCCUUCCAUAUCAAUUUAUCUUCAAAAUGACAAAGAUUUUUAUAUCCUAUAAGAUAUGUUAAAAAUUUCCUUAAUCAUCAAAUAUAAAGUACACUUAGUAUAAUUAAUCUAGUUUUUUUUUUUUUUUUUAAUGAAAGAUGAGAUGUAUUAAUUCAAAAAAUCAUGAAAGUACACAUCUAAAAUUUGGGUUGGCAACUCCUCUAUCCAUAUGCUAUUAGGAUUAGAGUGGGCAACUUGGGCCAUUCUAUGGGCCGCUACAUUACAAUCUCUAGGGAUAAAAUUGAACCGACAUCUGUCAAAACUAUAUUGCAGCCUUUGGAUUUCUUUUAUAAUACUCCCGAGAUAAGAUCUCUCCUCAUCCUUAUCUUCCUUCAGAAUCCUAAAAACCUUCUCAUUGUCUGAAACCACAAUCUAUGGCUAAACGAACCGUGAAUAAAGAGACUGAAGGCUUCAGCUAAGAUCACCUCUUCUGACCCUUUAACUUUCCAAGCAGCCGAGGCCAUUACCAAACCGUUGUUAUUUCGAAUAAUGGAACUAAGUCCCCACCAUCCUUUGACUUGAAGAUUUGAAUCGCAAUUUGCUUUUAGGAGACCUUCUUCUGGCUUUUUCCAUUUAGAGCGAUUGGGUAGCUUAGGGGGACACGCAGAGAGAUGGCGAUGCUGAUUGUCAAAGUCAAAACGCGUGUUGGCUUUCACGAACUCAUAAAUGCUUCUUUCAGAACGUUGGAUAAUGUCAAUUUCAGAUUGUUGAUGGGUAGCGGAGGUGGAUCCAAUCUUGAAACUGGGUAGGAAUUUGCAAUUUUUGUAUUUUGUUGGGGCGAUGAAUGGUUGAAUGGGUGUUAGAAUGAAUUUCAGGAAUCAUGGUGUUAGAGUUAACACCGUUUUCUUCUGGUUGAGCCAUGUUAUGGGAAAGAAAGAAUUGGGGAAAGAAAGAACAAUAAAGGACGAUGCUCAAAGAGGGGAGGGAUGAAGGUGGAGAAAAGAAGGUAGGGAAAGGCUAUGGAAGAAAGACGAGAAAAAGGAACAACCUUGAAGGAGGAAGUGAAGAAGAGAGAAACUAAUCACCGUAAGGUGUUAGUACAAACCAAGAAGGAGAAAACAAGGAAUAAGAGAAAGAGGGAGAAAACUAAUCACCAAAAGGUGUAAACCCAAACCAAGAACUGGAGAAAACAGGGGAACAACUAUCAACAACCAAGCAUGAUUGAAGAAGGAAAACCGAGCGGGCUCAAAAUAUUUCGGGAGAAUGUGAUUUCUAGUAUUUGGUCAUAAUUAGUCUAGUUAAUAUAACUAUAAUUAACAGGGAAAGGUCGAAAUGUUGCAAUUUAUUAGAAAUUGAAUUGAAUUGUAUGCAGCGUUUAUCUAAUUUUUGUAAAUAUUGUAGCGAUUAACAUAAUAAAUAUGCAUUAUAGUGUGAUUUAA
Molecule: long non-coding RNA, 3079 nt
Organism: Medicago truncatula (barrel medic)
Lineage: Eukaryota; Viridiplantae; Streptophyta; Magnoliopsida; Fabales; Fabaceae
Exons: 2
Source: RefSeq, a predicted model, not a curated record